Molecule: transfer RNA, 63 nt
Filed under: Cucujoidea sp. 8 KM-2017
Lineage: Eukaryota; Metazoa; Arthropoda; Insecta; Coleoptera
Description: tRNA-Thr
Rfam family: tRNA
About the family: Transfer RNA (tRNA) molecules are approximately 80 nucleotides in length. Their secondary structure includes four short double-helical elements and three loops (D, anti-codon, and T loops).
Source: RNAcentral
GUUUUUAUAGUUUAACCUAAAACAUUAGUCUUGUAAACUAAAAAUAAGAUUCCUUUAAAAACU